This 427-nucleotide ribosomal RNA is filed under the name uncultured bacterium. RNAcentral describes it as "partial 16S ribosomal RNA". It matches the Rfam family "Bacterial small subunit ribosomal RNA", at positions 355 to 774 of the family's 1533-position model. The record is from RNAcentral.
UGGGGAAUAUUGCACAAUGGGCGCAAGCCUGAUGCAGCCAUGCCGCGUGUAUGAAGAAGGCCUUCGGGUUGUAAAGUACUUUCAGCGGGGAGGAAGGCGAUAAGGUUAAUAACCUUGUCGAUUGACGUUACCCGCAGAAGAAGCACCGGCUAACUCCGUGCCAGCAGCCGCGGUAAUACGGAGGGGGCAAGAGUUAAUCGGACUUACUGGGCGUAAAGCGCACGCAGGCGGUCUGUCAAGUCGGAUGUGAAAUCCCCGGGCUCAACCUGGGAACUGCAUUCGAAACUGGCAGGCUAGAGUCUUGUAGAGGGGGGUAGAAUUCCAGGUGUAGCGGUGAAAUGCGUAGAGAUCUGGAGGAAUACCGGUGGCGAAGGCGGCCCCCUGGACAAAGACUGACGCUCAGGUGCGAAAGCGUGGGGAGCAAACA